UACAGAGGUCCCAAGCGUUGUUCGGAUUUACUGGGCGUAAAGGGUGCGUAGGUGGCGGGGUAAGUCUGGUGUGAAAGCUCCGAGCUCAACUCGGAAAAGCAUUGGAAACUAUUCCGCUAGAGGGUCGGAGGGGAGACUGGAAUUCUCGGUGUAGCAGUGAAAUGCGUAGAUAUCGAGAGGAACACCAGUGGCGAAGGCGAGUCUCUGGACGACUCCUGACACUGAGGCACGAAAGCUAGGGGAGCAAACAGG
Molecule: ribosomal RNA, 252 nt
Filed under: uncultured bacterium
Lineage: Bacteria
Description: partial 16S ribosomal RNA
Rfam family: Bacterial small subunit ribosomal RNA
Source: RNAcentral